This 22-nucleotide microRNA is filed under the name Columba livia (rock pigeon). RNAcentral's name for it is "cli-miR-9628-5p". The record is from miRBase by way of RNAcentral. Lineage: Eukaryota; Metazoa; Chordata; Aves; Columbiformes; Columbidae.
CACAGUCUGGCAGGGCUUGCAG